RNAcentral lists this ribosomal RNA (253 nucleotides) under uncultured bacterium. RNAcentral describes it as "partial 16S ribosomal RNA". It matches the Rfam family "Bacterial small subunit ribosomal RNA", at positions 524 to 776 of the family's 1533-position model. The record is from RNAcentral.
GACGUAGGAGGCGAGCGUUGUCCGGAUUCAUUGGGCGUAAAGAGCACGCAGGCGGUUUGGCAAGUCGGAUGUGAAAACCCGAAGCUCAGCUUCGGGCCUGCAUCCGAAACUGCCCGACUAGAGGUAGGUAGGGGAGAUCGGAAUUCCUGGUGUAGCGGUGAAAUGCGCAGAUAUCAGGGGGAACACCCGUGGCGAAAGCGGCGCGCUGGACCACUACUGACGCUGAGGAACGAAAGCUAGGGGAGCAAACAGG